UACGGGAGGCAGCAGUGGGGAAUUUUGGACAAUGGGCGAAAGCCUGAUCCAGCAAUGCCGCGUGCAGGAUGAAGGCCUUCGGGUUGUAAACUGCUUUUGUACGGAACGAAAAGCCUUGGGUUAAUACCCUGGGGUCAUGACGGUACCGUAAGAAUAAGCACCGGCUAACUACGUGCCAGCAGCCGCGGUAAUACGUAGGGUGCAAGCGUUAAUCGGAAUUACUGGGCGUAAAGCGUGCGCAGGCGGUUUUGUAAGACAGAGGUGAAAUCCCCGGGCUCAACCUGGGAACUGCCUUUGUGACUGCAAGGCUAGAGUGCGGCAGAGGGGGAUGGAAUUCCGCGUGUAGCAGUGAAAUGCGUAGAUAUGCGGAGGAACACCGAUGGCGAAGGCAAUCCCCUGGGCCUGCACUGACGCUCAUGCACGAAAGCGUGGGGAGCAAACAGGAUUAGAUACCCUGGUAGUCCACGCCCUAAACGAUGUCAACUGGUUGUUGGGUCUUAACUGACUCAGUAACGAAGCUAACGCGUGAAGUGACCG
Molecule: ribosomal RNA, 537 nt
Filed under: uncultured beta proteobacterium
Lineage: Bacteria; Pseudomonadati; Pseudomonadota; Betaproteobacteria
Description: bacterial SSU rRNA
Rfam family: Bacterial small subunit ribosomal RNA
Source: RNAcentral